UAACAGUUGUUACUCAAGAUGGAGGAAGGGGGCCAUGCGUUAAAGACUGUGGGCAUCAUCUUAAAGCUGGAAACGACAAGGAAACAGAUUAUGCUCUAGAGACUCCAGAAGGGAAUGUAACUCUUCUGACUCCCUGAUCUUCUUUUAGCCCAAUGAGACCCAGGCUGGACUGCUGAACUACAGAACUCCGGACUCAGGACCACAACAGAGCCCGAGAUUGCAGAUUUGAAGAAAUUCAGUCUCCUGAAUUUGAGGGGAAAGCAGGAUUUAAGAGAUCUUCUUUGAAGGUUAUAAGAAAUAGCAACAAAAGAUGGGCUGACGGAGGCAUGACUGGACAGCUUGGAGAUGUUACUCUGUAAAUUGAAAAGAAAGGACUUUGCCAUUUAUGUCUUGUAGAUCACCUAGAAUUUUAUAAUAAUAGAAUUACAGAGU
Molecule: long non-coding RNA, 432 nt
Organism: Balaenoptera ricei (Rice's whale)
Lineage: Eukaryota; Metazoa; Chordata; Mammalia; Artiodactyla; Balaenopteridae
Exons: 3
Source: RefSeq, a predicted model, not a curated record